Molecule: long non-coding RNA, 9533 nt
Organism: Lagopus leucura (white-tailed ptarmigan)
Lineage: Eukaryota; Metazoa; Chordata; Aves; Galliformes; Phasianidae
Exons: 3
Source: RefSeq, a predicted model, not a curated record
UAUCCUGCUCUGUUUUGUUGCUGUGUGACAGAUGGCAGCAGAGGAGCAGUCUGGCAAAAUGGCGUCUGACAUGGAAUUGCUUAUGGAGCAAAGGUGUAUCAUUGAAAUCCUCCAUGUAGAAAAAAUGGCACCCAUUGGCAUUCGCUGAUGCUUGCUGAACAUUUCUGGAGACCAAGCAGUGGCUGUGAGCACGGUGAGGGGUGAGUGGUGCACCCCAGAAUUGGCGACAGUGACUGUGAGUCACCUCCAUCGGUGCCUAUUUUUAUGAGCACAGCAUGCAGCCUCCUGUUCAUCGAUGAAAAAGAUGCACGACCAAUGGUGGUUACUGUGUUGAAAAAUAGUGUUUUGUAGCUGAGAAUUUGCUCUCUCAAAUACUGUUCUUGUACUUUUCAUAGCUGUUGUCAUUUCCGUGACAAUGUAAAUAGGAGACGUCACUUUCAGAGCAACCUAUGUACAUGACAGCUCUGAUUUGUGUGCCAGCCUUCCCUACAGGGCAAUGGAGAGUAUCAGGGAUCGUGGCUGGGGACGCUUGUCUGUGCAUGAUUAUGGUGAAUUCUGAUGUUCUGCGUAAGCUGGUGGACUCUGAUCUCUGAAUCACCACGGGUUUACUUGCCCAACCACAUUUUGCUCCUGGCUCCUCCUCCUGAUCCUCCAGCUGCUCCUCCCAGUCUGGUUUGGCUGCUCUCUCAUUUUUGCAGCCUGCUCCCUUUCCUCACACCUCUUUCUCCUCCCUGCAUCUGCCCUGCAGCUGGAUGGCUUCAUGUUCUGUCAUGCAAGGGUGGGAGCACAACAAAACCUCCACCCAAUGAGUCCACGGCUUUGCUGUGUGCAGCCUCCUGCCAGCAUCUGUGCUGAUGGGUCCCAGGACUGUGAUUUCAUCCUGCAUCCAGCUUUACAGGAUUAGAAUCAUUAUAGUUGAAAAGACCACCAAGAUCAUCUAGUCUAACCAUCAACCUAUCACCACCCUAGCAAUAAACCAUAUCCCUCAGUGUGACCUCUGCUCUUUUCUUAAAAACCUCUGUGGAUUCUUUUAGCUGUUUACAAUGUCACUGGAUGAAGAGGUGUUGGACCUCCUCAUGAGAUGCUGCACGUUGGUAGGUGUGCUGGUAUUGCUUACAGAAAAAGAGAGCUUUUAUUUUUCUUACGCGCCUUAACGAUGAACUUCUCUUGCAGUCAAUGAUGUUUGUAUUUAGGAGACUAAAAUCCUCUCUUCUAACUGACAUAUUUUGCAUAUAAAAACUGGUAAGUGAUGGAAAGAUGGAAUACAGGAAAACUCGAGUACUUCAUGUUUGGUGGACUAUACCAUGUGAUUUCAAAAUUUCUAGAAGUGAAAAGAAUGCAAAUUCCAUUAUAAAGACUGCACAAGGGCACUCAGUUUUGGAGCAGCAGCAUUGGAAGUGUCAGGACUGCCUUGGGCCACUCAGCCUCCUUGGAGGAUGUGCUGCUGAGGUGGAGACAGGCCUGAGGGCAAUACAGACAACGAAUAUGUUAAUUAGUUAUUAGGAGAAGGCGGAGCUUUGUUUAAAGAAAGACCCUGGAGAUCUCAGGGAAGUCAUUGUCCUAGUGGGCUCUGCUCUUCUAUGAAGCAUGCUCUGGUGAGCCGUGGCCAAGCUGGCUGCUCUCCAUGGGCUCUCCCAGCAAGCUGUAGGAGGAGGCAGGAGGACUGACAGAAGCCUGGUGCAGACAGACUGCAAGCACAUUAAUUAUUGAUUGUGUUAGUUGAUGGGUUGUGCUGAAUUGAUCUGGUACAAGAUAAUGUGAAUUAAAAGCUGCUUAAAUAUUUAAUUCAGGGCUUUUUGGCUACGGCAGGCAUUUGAAUGAAAGAUAACGUGCGAUUCAUGACUGGAAUCGGCUUCUCAAUAAAGACAAGCUAUUAGAAUGAGAGGUACUAUCUAAAUGUAAAUUAUGAUUUAUUAGAGGGGAAAUCUCUUGUGUGUAAAAUUUUAAUGAAAGAUUAGAAAGCUUUCUAGAUUGAAUUAUCUAAAUAUAUGAUAGCCAUUUUCAAGUUAUUCGUUCAAUCGUGGCAGUACUAACACCGAAGGCUGGUAUGCCUCCCUGGUUGGCUUAGGUGCUGCAGCUCCCAGGAAAUUCCUGCCUGGUUUCUCCCAGCCUCUCCACAGAGACAUCCUCAAUGCAAAGCAGACCCGAUCCUGAUGCAAAAAUGUUUUCUAUUUCAGCUUUUAGGGCAUACAGGCUUCGAUGAGAGUAGCAGGCUGCUGCCUGCUGCAGUUUCUGCCUCCCCUUCUAUCUUGCUUCAUUCCUCCAUGUACCAGAGAAGGCUUUGGCAGCUGGGGGUGUUAGCCUCAUUUUUCUCACCCUUCAGAAAAGCUGUCCUCUGUUCAACGUGCGCAUUCCUUCCUCCAGAGCCAUUUUCCUCCGUGGGCUCUCUGGGCUGGCCAGCGGCCAAACAGUAGGGUGAGCUGCAUGAGAAGGCCUUGAUCACUGGCUGUCUUACAAUUUUUCACUUGUAUUCAAGAUGCAGAUGGAUGUCAUUAGAAAGGUUUUUACUUUGAAUGCGCACAGCUUGUCCACAUGCCCGAGCUUAGAGCUCAGUACUUGUAUAGUACUUAUAUAUGUGCUUUUCAUCCUCAAAAGGGCUCUGCAAGCUCGAGUCCUCAGAACAGUUCUGUGAGGUGGGUGUGUGCAUUUUGUAAUGAGCUUCAUAACAAGGAAGAACGCAGGUCAGUGUUUCUUUCAAAGAUAUGUUGUGCAGUGAGCAUUAUAAAGGAAGAAAAUCCUUACACUUCCCUGGUGUUCCUCUCUGAUGUUCUGUCUGAAAAUCACAUGGUUUCACCGUGGGAGCAUGUCCCUCCAUAUGAAAGAUGUGAUUAGUGGCAUCAAAAAUUAAGAUGUGUCUCAGGUUACAGUAGUACUAGGUAAAUAUAUAGCAUUUCUAAAAGUUAUGAGGCCAGGUUUCCUACUGUACUCAGCUUCAAUUAACACAGAAGAGCAGGAGCCAAAGGGCAUCGUCAAAGAGACCCAAGUCUGAUGGAAGAUCAGGAGCUUCUUCACAUCGUACUUCUAAACAGAGGGAAAUGAUAUUAUGAAGAGGGAUAAAAAUUGCUUGUCUUCACAGUUGAAAGGACAAGGCAGGAUUAAUUUUUUUUUUCCAUUUGAACUGUAGGAUUAAAAUUCAAGUAGCUACAGUAACAGCAACAGCCCCAGUGUGAACUCAGCUCUAUCGAAAGUUUUUGUAAUGUUGCAUCUCAUCUAAGCGAGGGGGCUGGAAUAAUCUAUAGCUAUGGCAGGCAUUUUUGAAAUUUUGCAUUCUGUCUGAGUUGUUACUGGCAUGACUACUUUGGCAUGCUUUACCUUGCACAGGCGAGCCAGUAAAUGCUUCAAGUGUCAUCCAGCAGGAAAAAUCUGGCUAGGGAUGAGAUCAUAUUGUGAGAUAUGGUUCCUAAACUAGAUCAGUGAGCCCUGGAAGAGGGUUUAAUAACCAGCAUUAGGGGUUUUUGCACCCUCUGUGUGCCUCAGAGCAUGCAUAGGUAUCUGGAGGACAUAGGUUUAGAAAUCAGUAGCUACCUUAUCCCAAUAAGGAAUUCUUAAUAAGGGAUGGAGUGGCACUUGUUCUGAAUAAACAAGCAGGAGACUGUAAGAAAAAGGAUCUGCUUUAUAGACCUGCACCUCCUUCAUGCUUUCUGGGCAAAUAGACUGAGAAUAGCCUGUCUACUUGAAGUCAUAAGAAGGAUGAGUUAAAGAUAGAUAGGUUAAAGCAAGCAUUUAUUUUAAUGUUGCUCCAGUUUCCCUCUUUUAAAAACAUAAUUAUGUCCAGUCACAACAGGACUCUGCAUCUUCUCAGAAAGAUGCUGAGAACUAGUUAAUGAGCAAGCUUGAGUGGCAGAGAUGCUCACCUUCACCUGCUGCAUACAGCAGGGUGGAGAAGUGGAACGGAGUAAACUAGUCAUGGUUUUUUAACCCCAAAAGGGUCUUUUUUAAGAGAAUUCUGCAUUCAGGUAUUAUCUUCCUCUUGCUGCUCUGGGGAGGGUAUCUGGCCCCAGAAAUUACUCUGGAGAAAUAGGAAGUGCAACUUAUUUUCUGGUUUUCUAAACAUUAUGCAGUUUCAGAUGAAUUCAUGGGAAUGAUGGGCAGAAAAAGUCUUAGAGAAUUGCUGUGUGAUGAAUUACAAGUUAUCGCUUUUUUAUGGAUUCCACAUCCAAAGCCUUUAAUGUUGGCUACCCUACUCUGCUUAAUAAUUUUUAAGUGAGUACAUCUAGGCCAAUUAAGCAUUUUCAUUUGCCCUUAAAUGUUACAAAUGCCUGCUAGAGUUGGAAGACUGUGAUUUAAGCUCAAACAUCUGGGGGACAGAAAUGCUCUACCAGGCCUAUUCUGUCCUAUGUUGUUUUGAUGACAAAAUGCACGUAUGCUCAUUGCAAAACCGUUUGAGUUUUAAAUUGGUGCCUUAAAGCUAUGCAGUACUCUGGAUGCACCCAGCAGUUCUAUUCCUCUUUAAAUCUCAUCAUAACCAAGAGUUACAAGCACUGCGGUGUGAGUUCGCUUUACCUGUGGACCACUGCCCUUUAUUAUUUCCCACAAGACUGUCUUUGGAAGCAUCAGCAUUAGCUCCCACUAAAUGAAAUGCAGCUCGACUCCUGCCUACAUCGGUCUUUCAGGAUCUAACCACAGCAGAGAAAUACUUUCCCUUGCUUCAGCGUUGCCCUCCGAGUUAAAAUUAGCUGAGUAUCUGCAUCGUUUCUGCUGGUAUCAAAAAAAUGUGUAAUGCUACUGCUUGAAGGGCCCCUCUUUGCAUUUUGGAGACGUGCUGAUGUGUGUUUUAACCUAUUGUAUUUACAUUGCCCAGGAGUAUCAGCCUGCUGUCUGGCUCACGUUCACGUGUGUGGAGUGGGAUCCUUACUAAAAUUGCGUCAGUGAGGAGCAGAGGUUAAGAGUGAUAAGUAGUUCAAAGAAAGUCUAUUUGCAUGCAACAAAAUAUCUGUGUGAAUACUUAAAGUCAGGAGGGCUGACUAUUCUAUUUAUUUCUGAAGCGCAAAGGACCAAGGCAAAUAAAUUGAAGAUGAAAUUUUCUCUUGUACUUCAUUUCUUUUCCUCCAUGGUAAGAAGAUUCUGCUUUAUCCUGAAUGCAAGAGUAAUGCUAAGGCUUCAGGCAAAAUUAUAAGCUACUUGCAUCCAUGGAAUGAAGUUGCAGAGCUAGCUUCAACCUGGGGACUUAUCAUUUCAUGAGCUGUUGCGUUGCUAACAAGACACAGACAUUGCCGUUGGACAAACAAAGGCAAGAUUGUUUCUCUGUUUGUUCUGCAGCCCUUCUCAGCCGCACUGCUGAGCAUGACUUAGAGAGAACUCUCUUUCUGGGAGGUUCAAACAGUUCAGUAUUUUUCGCUGGAGGUGAAAGGGGGCAUAGCCAUCCUCUGUUGCAACAUUAUGGAAGUUCCCAGCAACCCCAACAUGAACCAGAGCCAAGGAGCAGAUCCUGAGCUGUUUUAAACAGGCAGGAACCAGCUGAUCUCCUUGAAAUACAUGGGUUUUCAUUAGCUGAGGACCUGGAGAAAGGGUCCACCUGUGCCCUACCUCACAUGGAUGGGAUUGAAAACACACUGGAUUCCAGCCUCCACCCUGCAGGAUUUUAAGAGGAGGACACUCCUGAGGUAUGUUAAGACUUUCUUGUCCAAAGGACUAAAUACACUGUGCUGUCUCCAUUCCAGCUAGCUGGAGCUGAAGGAAGAGAAACACAAAUUCAACAUGGGUAAAUACACCAGGAUGUAUUUACUGUGGCUAUGUACAGUGUUUUUGUCAUGCUGGUAAGAUGCCAAAAAGUCAGCAGUAUUUUAAGUUGCGUGAAAAAGGGAAAAAAGUCCCAGAAAAUAACUUCCCCAUGACAAGAUCUUUAAGAGUUCAUAUGUCUUUCAAUAUGUACAUCUUCCAAAGCGUCCUUUUGGCUCCCCACAAAAAAGUAACCCUCAUCUCUACUACUUCUUUUGUACGAUUGCUUCCCACACAUCAGUUUCUAUUCUGACUUACAAAACACAUUUACAAGAUGUAUUUCCUUGGGUGCAGAUCUCCUGUUGGCAGCUUCCCCUGCAUGCAGCAAAAAUGUGAGAGGCAUUUAUUUAUUUAUUUUAUUAUUAUUUUCUAAUAACUUUUGUUCUGGAAAUCAGAAGUGAAGCGAGCGGCAGGUUAGCAUGUUUUUGCAAUAGCGGUAUAAUCAUCUUGCUGCUGAGCAUUUGAAGAGUAUUAUCUGCUUAACAAAUGGAAAAGAUUGUGAAAUGUAAACAAAAUAAUAGAAGGAAAGUAAUUAUUUAUUUCAAGUCUGCCUUAGAAACAGACCCUGGCAGUACAAGUAGCUCAUUGUACGAACUUCUGCCCCAUGGUUAGUAACAAGUUACCUUUGCAGUACUGCUUAUUUUUGUCAGCUCCUUCAUGUCUUUGUUUCCAUGUUAAUCAUGGAUUUCCUUCUUCAGAUGGAUGUAAUACUCAGAUUUGUCACUGUAUUUGUUCAGAGAAGGCUGGGAGUGGAAACAGGAAUCUCCACAAGUUUUCUGCAAAAGAGACUCGUAGAAAGUCUUAAUUUUCACCACUGACGUCCGAUAAACAUAUUAUUUAGAAAACAAACUUGAUCAUAACAACACUUUGAACCCUUUUCCAUCAUUGAAUAUGAAUGUUCUCAGUUAAUGGUUGCAGCACGGCACUCCGCAUGCAUGAGGGAAAUAUAUUGGUUUAAAAACAGAAGACUGAAAUGUAAGUUUGAACUUGAAUUUGUCCAGUGAUGAACACGAUGAGAAGGUGAAGGGAAAUCCUGAAGACCACUCUUCAAGUGGAGGAAGCGGGACAGAAGACUCAUAAGCAUGUCCUAACAGCACUUCCAUGACUGAGAGAUGAUGGACACACCUGCAACGUGAUCACAAGGGUGCAUGAAGCUUGCAUGAGCCUAUCUGAGCUUACUUCAGAAAUUCAGGCUUGACCUCUGAGAGUUCAUGCUAAUAUAUCUGGUGUUCAUUCAGUAUCUGGCAUAAUGGUCCGUGAUCCAUCGCUGUGCUCCCAAGGUGUUCCUGCAAGACAGAUUUCAGCCACCUUUCCCUUUGUACAGGUUCCUUUACCUGUGAAUCUGAAUGCUGUGUGGACUGUGAAUUCCUCUCAGGAGACACUGUAAGUAUUUGGACAGCUAAUUUGUGCAGGUCCCUGAGCUACCUCUGCUAGGAUUAAGCUCACUAGUUAAAGCUGCUUUAGAUGGAUGCAGCUACAGAAAAGUUGAAUGAUAAAUAUUCCCAAAUGUAACAAACAAACUGGCAAACUCUGAAAAAAUAUAUGAAAUACAUCAUAGUAGUCGCAAACUCUCCUUGUUAGUCUCAAGAGGGAUAGAUUUUGUUUAGAGCCGCAGACCAGGCUGUCUUUUACAGCAUUUUGGAUUUUAUGCUGCCUUACAAGUGCAAAAGGACAAUAAAGCAAUGGUAAAUGUUCAAAAAUUACUUUAGCAUGGACUGUGUUAACUCCCUGAUAUCUUUCUGUCCUACACUACAGGCAUACAGGGUAGUGGCUGUAUACUGUGCUCGUGCAUAGUGAUAUCUGGAUGGCAAUGAGACAUAUAGCUAUGGGAUGCUGUAAAAAAACAAAACAAAACAAAAACAACAUCAGCCAUUCUUUUCAUGUUGUGAAAGAUGAUACAAAAUGGAGUUGGCAAUGGUAGUAAUCCCAUCUAUGUAUAAACCUCGAAAGAACAGGAACAGCAUUCUAGGAAAUGUUGUCAUCCCAAAAAUCCAAGCACAGAAGAUAAACCUGUUCAAAGGAGCCUGGUCUUCCCCUGGUAGUAGAGAUCAGCCAUCCUUGACUUAAAAUCCAAUAAAAUUGGAUUCUACUCAGUCCAAUAGGAACAGCUCUCGUUCUCUAUGUCAGACAUGGAGUGGUCCAUCAGAUGGACACCUUUGCAUUCCACCUACACAAAUGGUUAUGAAAGGAACUUCUUAGGACUGCUGAGAAGCUGCCAGGUGAGAGCUGGGAAGCAAACGGGAAGUUCUGCAUACUGGAACUCAUCUGUGUGAAUUUGCUAUAGCUGCCACGCAAUCUUCAGAUGAUAAAAGAAAAUUUAAGAAAAUAAGACAACUUACCCAGAGGAAGAAGAUGAAAGGAUAUCCAUGGGUUUGUAUCCUCACUGAUGGUGCAUAUCUUACUGAAAUUAUAUGGUGUGUAUACAUUUAUAUAUUUACAUACAUAUGCUAUAUGUAUAUUUAACUAAAAAAGAAAUGCAAAAGGAAUGGCAAUCCUGAUACACGUGUGUACUGCAAAACACUGAUCUACUGUUUAAGACAGAAAACGGGAAAGAAUGAACGUGAAGGCUGCAAAAACAUAUGUGGCAUUGUAAAUUGUACCUCACCAAUGUUUGCAUGACAAGCAGGGCUUAGCCUAAAUGAUUAUUUGAUAUUUUUUCCUAUUCAUAUGCAAGAACUACUACAAUAUUGGCAAAAAACCAAACAUCAUGCAGGGCAGACUCGUAUCCACCAUAGAGAACAUAAAAAAUGAGAAGCAUUUACAUAAUACUGUGUUGCUUACAGAAGGCUAAAGAAAGAGUAAGCAGGUACAACAUGUUCUUAAAUGCUUCUGAAAAAGUGUUGAAUGUAUCUGAACGUAACUUUCUAGCUUUCAUUCCUUGUCAUGUCUAACAAGUCCGUGGCAUGUGAUGGGCCUCUGACGUACACUGAUAGCCAUCAAGGUUUGUUACACUAAUCAGAGCAGAAUCAGAGCACCCAAAAUCGCGUCAGCUGAGGCUGAGUAUCAUUGUGAAUCACAGGUACUCUACUAGCAGAUAGCACAACAGAAAUUAAUUGCAGUGAAACACUUCACUUUAUGCUGUUAGAGGUAAUAGGUCUGGAAUUAAAACUAAUUGCAUAUUAAAAUGGAGUGGGUAGCUAUGUUUUGAUUUAGAGAUAGGAACACGUCAGGCAAGCUCGUCUGUAACAGGAGAUAUUCAGUGCCCUGAAGUGAUGAAGGAGAAGAGCCCAGGAGAGCAUUCCUUGCAUUCCUGUGGCACUCAGCAUAUACAUAUGCCCCACAAAAAAAGGAAAUCUUAGCGCUCUGGGUUGGUAAGGUGAGCUCCAGAAAAGCUGGCACUUUCAUGUAGCUGCAGGCUUGGCUAAUUUGAAGAAAUGAUACUCUCUGAUGAUGAAUAUGAGGAAUAUUUAAAACUGCUAUUUAUUUAUUUUUGUUUUUCAGGGCAAAGGGCAUUAUAUUUUCAGUCUGUUAGUUAAAAAGUGAAUUAAGAACUACUAGUUAGCAACCACUAGCAAAAUAUGGCUGGGAUGUGGAGCUCUAUUUAAGUCCUGUGGUCUUCCCAGAAUGAUCAGUAUUAGGUGCAACAAUAUUUUGCUGACAUGUAUGAGUAGGAUUAGCACAAAGAGUUAUCUUUGAUGAACUAAAUUUCAAGAGGUUUAAAAGAAUACUGUUUGAAGACAUGGCCAGUAGGAGGGUCAUCUGUGUCUAAAUGUGUAAGAUUUUGUCUCCUCAGACACGUAAGGAAAAAAAAAACAUUCUUCAUACUGAUGUCCAUAAUUUUCACAAAUACGGAAAUAAAAAUAAACAUUACAAGA